AACGAACGCUGGCGGCAUGCCUAACACAUGCAAGUCGAACGGGAUCCUAGCUUGCUAGGUGAGAGUGGCGGACGGGUGAGUAACACGUGGGAAUCUGCCUUUUGGUUCGGGAUAACCGCGGGAAACUGCGGCUAAUACCGAAUGCCCUCGAGAGAGGAAAGAUUUAUCGCCAGAAGAGGAGCCCGCGUCCGAUUAGGUAGUUGGUGGGGUAAAGGCCUACCAAGCCGACGAUCGGUAGCUGGUCUGAGAGGAUGAUCAGCCACACUGGGACUGAGAUACGGCCCAGACUCCUACGGGAGGCAGCAGUGGGGAAUAUUGGACAAUGGGGGCAACCCUGAUCCAGCAAUGCCGCGUGAGUGAUGAAGGCCUUAGGGUUGUAAAGCUCUUUUGCCAGGGAAGAUGAUGACUGUACCUGGAGAAUAAGCCCCGGCUAACUUCGUGCCAGCAGCC
This 450-nucleotide ribosomal RNA is filed under the name uncultured bacterium. RNAcentral's name for it is "bacterial SSU rRNA". It matches the Rfam family "Bacterial small subunit ribosomal RNA", at positions 29 to 516 of the family's 1533-position model. The record is from RNAcentral.